UACGUAGGUGGCAAGCGUUGUCCGGAUUUACUGGGCGUAAAGAGCGCGCAGGCGGUCGGCCAAGUCGAGUGUGAAAGCCCCCGGCUCAACUGGGGAGGGUCAUUCGAUACUGGUCGACUCGAAGGCAGGAGAGGGAAGCGGAAUUCCCGGUGUAGUGGUGAAAUGCGUAGAUAUCAGGAGGAACACCAAUGGCGAAGGCAGAUCUCUGGGCCGUAACUGACGCUGAGGAGCGAAAGCAUGGGGAGCGAACAGG
RNAcentral lists this ribosomal RNA (253 nucleotides) under uncultured bacterium. RNAcentral describes it as "partial 16S ribosomal RNA". It matches the Rfam family "Bacterial small subunit ribosomal RNA", at positions 524 to 776 of the family's 1533-position model. The record is from RNAcentral.